GCAUGCCCGGCAGAGAGAGGUUCCUGAGGAGCGUCCUUAAUUAGGUCUAUAUCAGAUGUAAUGUCCUAGAAGAACCUGGAAACCACAAAGAGUUCCUAUGAAAACAAGAGAGGGCAGUUUGGCAAUAUGAAUCGACUGAGAAGUAACUCGCUGAUAAAAAGAAAACAGAAAACAUUAACGACAGGAUGAAUGGUACAAGGCUGCUAAGAUCUUAAUGAAGAGUGGAAACAGCUACCUGGAGAAUAACAGAGGGCAUUAAAGAACCAGCACCUACACAGCCAUGGAGAUGACAGGAGUCGGGCACUGCUGACCAGCAAGGGUGCAGUGAGGCAGGAAACCACAGUGAGUAGCUUCUCCCUUGGCCAACACCAGGGGGAAUGGACUCAUGCACGGAGAGGAGGCAGCAAUGGAAAUCCAACGAAUAUGGCCAUGGUCGGGGUGUUCCUGAAGCGGCCCCUCCCGAAGUCAGCUCUUAGCAAAUCAAGAUUCAAGUCCACAGGGCUUAUCUGUCAACUCCUUGAAAGCAGAAACAGCGGCCCAACACACAGAAGGUGCUCAAUAAAUAUUUGCUGAAUACAUAAAA
Molecule: long non-coding RNA, 583 nt
Organism: Myotis brandtii (Brandt's bat)
Lineage: Eukaryota; Metazoa; Chordata; Mammalia; Chiroptera; Vespertilionidae
Exons: 4
Source: RefSeq, a predicted model, not a curated record